AGAAUCAACGCUGGCGGCGUGCCUAACACAUGCAAGUCGAACGAGAAAGUGGAGCAAUCCAUGAGUAAAGUGGCGACCGGGUGAGUAACACGUGACCAAUCUACCCUUGAGUGGGGGAUAACCUCGGGAAACCGGGGCUAAUACCGCAUAAUAUCUUCGGAACGGAAGUACUGAAGAUCAAAGGAGCAAUUCGCUUAAGGAGGAGGUCGCGGCUGAUUAGCUAGUUGGCGGGUAAUGGCCCACCAAGGCAAAGAUCGGUA
This 260-nucleotide ribosomal RNA is filed under the name uncultured bacterium. RNAcentral describes it as "partial small subunit ribosomal RNA". It matches the Rfam family "Bacterial small subunit ribosomal RNA", at positions 26 to 285 of the family's 1533-position model. The record is from RNAcentral.